CUAUUACAUAUUCUAUACAUCAAAGAUGAAAUUAACAACCCUUCGCUUACCAUCAAAACUACAGGACACUGAUGAUACUGAUGCUAUGAAUAUGCAGAUUAUGAAGACUUAAAUUUUGACUCUUCCAUACUCAACAGAUCUAAAGCCGGGAAAGCUAUUGAUUACUAUAAGCUAUGAUGAAGUUGACAAUUGAGUAGUCUUCCCUAUAGAAAUAUCAAUUCAUAUACUGAUUUCGUCAGAAGACGUUUUACGUUCAUGAGCCGUACCGUCACCGGGCCUGAAAACAGAUGCAAUUCCAGAACAUCGAAACCAAGCAACCUUAAUGUCUACACCACCAGGCUCUUACCACGACCAGUGCUCAGAAAUCUGCAGGUCUAACCACAGCUUUAUGCCAAUUGUUCUU
RNAcentral lists this long non-coding RNA (403 nucleotides) under Homo sapiens (human). RNAcentral describes it as "non-protein coding lnc-SLC6A3-1:1". The record is from RNAcentral. Lineage: Eukaryota; Metazoa; Chordata; Mammalia; Primates; Hominidae.